AUACGGAGGGUGCAAGCGUUAAUCGGAAUUACUGGGCGUAAAGCGCGCGUAGGCGGUUUGUUAAGUCGGAUGUGAAAGCCCCGGGCUUAACCUGGGAGGGUCAUUCAAAACUGGCAGACUAGAGUGUGGUAGAGGGUAGUGGAAUUCCUAGUGUAGCGGUGAAAUGCGUAGAGAUUAGGAGGAACACCAGUGGCGAAGGCGACUGCCUGGACCAACACUGACGCUGAGGUGCGAAAGCGUGGGUAGCGAACAGGAUUAGAUACCCCAGUAGUCC
RNAcentral lists this ribosomal RNA (274 nucleotides) under uncultured bacterium. RNAcentral describes it as "partial 16S ribosomal RNA". It matches the Rfam family "Bacterial small subunit ribosomal RNA", at positions 523 to 796 of the family's 1533-position model. The record is from RNAcentral.